CAGCCGCCGCGGUAAUACGGAGGGUGCAAGCGUUGUCCGGAUUUAUUGGGUUUAAAGGGUGCGUAGGCGGCUGAUUAAGUCAGUGGUGAAAGACAUCGGCUCAACCGAUGCAGUGCCAUUGAUACUGGUCAGCUUGAGUGUUGGAGGGGUACAUGGAAUUGAUGGUGUAGCGGUGAAAUGCAUAGAUACCAUCAGGAACACCGAUAGCGAAGGCAUUGUACUGGCCAACAACUGACGCUGAGGCACGAAAGCAUGGGGAGCGAACAGG
RNAcentral lists this ribosomal RNA (268 nucleotides) under uncultured prokaryote. Its description in RNAcentral is "partial 16S ribosomal RNA". It matches the Rfam family "Bacterial small subunit ribosomal RNA", at positions 509 to 776 of the family's 1533-position model. The record is from RNAcentral.